Molecule: transfer RNA, 83 nt
Filed under: Planctomycetales bacterium
Lineage: Bacteria; Pseudomonadati; Planctomycetota; Planctomycetia; Planctomycetales
Description: tRNA-Tyr
Rfam family: tRNA
About the family: Transfer RNA (tRNA) molecules are approximately 80 nucleotides in length. Their secondary structure includes four short double-helical elements and three loops (D, anti-codon, and T loops).
Source: RNAcentral
GGGCAGGUGGCCGAGCGGCCAAUGGCAUCAGACUGUAAAUCUGACGGGGCAACCCUACACAGGUUCAAAUCCUGUCCUGCCCA